CCGGGACUGAUCGUAGCCUUCAACACUCGAAGCGAAGUGUUGAGGUAGACGUUUAGCCCGAAA
Molecule: microRNA precursor, 63 nt
Organism: Caenorhabditis briggsae
Lineage: Eukaryota; Metazoa; Nematoda; Chromadorea; Rhabditida; Rhabditidae
Rfam family: mir-7594 microRNA precursor family
Source: Rfam